UGGAGAGUUUGAUCCUGGCUCAGAUUGAACGCUGGCGGCAGGCCUAACACAUGCAAGUCGAGCGGAAACGAGUUAUCUGAACCUUCGGGGAACGAUAACGGCGUCGAGCGGCGGACGGGUGAGUAAUGCCUAGGAAAUUGCCCUGRUGUGGGGGAUAACCAUUGGAAACGAUGGCUAAUACCGCAUAAUACCUWCGGGUCAAAGAGGGGGACCUUCGGGCCUCUCGCGUCAGGAUAUGCCUAGGUGGGAUUAGCUAGUUGGUGAGGUAAUGGCUCACCAAGGCGACGAUCCCUAGCUGGUCUGAGAGGAUGAUCAGCCACACUGGAACUGAGACACGGUCCAGACUCCUACGGGAGGCAGCAGUGGGGAAUAUUGCACAAUGGGCGCAAGCCUGAUGCAGCCAUGCCGCGUGUGUGAAGAAGGCCUUCGGGUUGUAAAGCACUUUCAGUCGUGAGGAAGGUAGUGUAGUUAAUAGCUGCAUUAUUUGACGUUAGCGACAGAAGAAGCACCGGCUAACUCCGUGCCAGCAGCCGCGGUA
RNAcentral lists this ribosomal RNA (538 nucleotides) under Vibrio harveyi. Its description in RNAcentral is "bacterial SSU rRNA". It matches the Rfam family "Bacterial small subunit ribosomal RNA", at positions 1 to 522 of the family's 1533-position model. The record is from RNAcentral. Lineage: Bacteria; Pseudomonadati; Pseudomonadota; Gammaproteobacteria; Vibrionales; Vibrionaceae.